RNAcentral lists this long non-coding RNA (231 nucleotides) under Homo sapiens (human). RNAcentral describes it as "HSALNT0129813". The record is from RNAcentral. Lineage: Eukaryota; Metazoa; Chordata; Mammalia; Primates; Hominidae.
GAUACAACUGCCUAACCUCAUGGUUACUGCCAUGGCAGCUGCUGGGAUCCUGGAGAGAGUUUCUUUCACCACUGCAGUCUGUGCUUUGUAUUUGCCUUUGUAAACACGUGGAAUAGUGCAACCCUGCCAUAGACAGCAUGCCCUGAAUAGCUUCUUCCUCUGUGCUCGUCGAGGUACUGUGGAGGAUGGUUGGAGAUGUUUGUUGAAUUUUCCAUUCAGUUUAGAGCUCAA